GACGAACGCUGGCGGCGUGCUUAACACAUGCAAGUCGAACGGAAAGGCCCUGCUUUUGUGGGGUGCUCGAGUGGCGAACGGGUGAGUAACACGUGAGUAACCUGCCCUUGACUUUGGGAUAACUUCAGGAAACUGGGGCUAAUACCGGAUAGGAGCUCCUGCUGCAUGUUGGGGGUUGGAAAGUUUCGGCGGUUGGGGAUGGACUCGCGGCUUAUCAGCUUGUUGGUGGGGUAGUGGCUUACCAAGGCUUUGACGGGUAGCCGGCCUGAGAGGGUGACCGGCCACAAUGGGACUGAGAUACGGCCCAGACGCCUACGGGAGGCAGCAGGGGGGAAUAUUGCACAAUGGGCGGAAGCCUGAUGCAGCAACGCCGCGUGCGGGAUGACGGCCUUCGGGUUGUAAACCGCUUUCGACGGUGACGAAGCGUGAGUGACGGUAAUGGGUAAAGAAGCACCGGCUAACUACGUG
This 468-nucleotide ribosomal RNA is filed under the name uncultured bacterium. RNAcentral describes it as "partial 16S ribosomal RNA". It matches the Rfam family "Bacterial small subunit ribosomal RNA", at positions 28 to 507 of the family's 1533-position model. The record is from RNAcentral.